Molecule: long non-coding RNA, 317 nt
Filed under: Trifolium pratense (red clover)
Lineage: Eukaryota; Viridiplantae; Streptophyta; Magnoliopsida; Fabales; Fabaceae
Description: long non-coding RNA (TPRA_LNC011295)
Source: RNAcentral
AAACUUAGAAUUUUAGUGCAUGUUUGAAUAGGCGGUGAUCGAUAAAAUUACAUUGAUCCACCGUAAUUUUGGUACAAUUUGCACUUUUGAAUUUCACAAAAUUAUAGAACCACUGUGAUUUUGUUCAACUUGAUUACCAUCAAUCAAAAUAUUGAAAGUCAUCCACUGGGCACAAACACACCUUAGUUUUAAUGGAUUUAAUCACAUGAUAUUUUUUAAAAAAAUAAUAUAUCAAGCGUAUUAAUAUAUUGGGCCUAAAUAAUUCACUCACUAGUUAUAAAAAUUUGUCUAAUUGUAUCAAGAGAUUGAGUUCAAGU